UACAGAGGUGGCAAGCGUUGUUCGGAAUUACUGGGCGUAAAGGGCGCGUAGGCGGCCUUCUAAGUCAGACGUGAAAUCCCCCGGCUUAACCUGGGAACUGCGUCUGAUACUGGGAGGCUUGAGUAUGGGAGAGGGAUGUAGAAUUCCAGGUGUAGCGGUGAAAUGCGUAGAUAUCUGGAGGAAUACCGGUGGCGAAGGCGGCAUCCUGGGCCAUUACUGACGCUGAGGCGCGAAAGCUAGGGGAGCAAACGGG
RNAcentral lists this ribosomal RNA (253 nucleotides) under uncultured bacterium. RNAcentral describes it as "partial 16S ribosomal RNA". It matches the Rfam family "Bacterial small subunit ribosomal RNA", at positions 524 to 776 of the family's 1533-position model. The record is from RNAcentral.